RNAcentral lists this ribosomal RNA (312 nucleotides) under uncultured bacterium. RNAcentral's name for it is "bacterial SSU rRNA". It matches the Rfam family "Bacterial small subunit ribosomal RNA", at positions 28 to 334 of the family's 1533-position model. The record is from RNAcentral.
GAUGAACGCUAGCGACAGGCUUAACACAUGCAAGUCGAGGGGCAGCGGGGGAGUAGCAAUACUCCCGCCGGCGACCGGCGCACGGGUGAGUAACACGUAUGCAACCUGCCCUCUUCAGGGGGACAACCUUCCGAAAGGGAGGCUAAUCCCGCGUAUAUCGGUUUCGGGCAUCCGUUAUCGAGGAAAGAUUCAUCGGAAGAGGAUGGGCAUGCGGCGCAUUAGCUAGACGGCGGGGUAACGGCCCACCGUGGCGACGAUGCGUAGGGGUUCUGAGAGGAAGGUCCCCCACACUGGUACUGAGACACGGACCAG